RNAcentral lists this ribosomal RNA (317 nucleotides) under Clostridioides difficile. Its description in RNAcentral is "bacterial SSU rRNA". It matches the Rfam family "Bacterial small subunit ribosomal RNA", at positions 1 to 325 of the family's 1533-position model. Lineage: Bacteria; Bacillati; Bacillota; Clostridia; Peptostreptococcales; Peptostreptococcaceae. The record is from RNAcentral.
UUUUAUUUGAGAGUUUGAUCCUGGCUCAGGAUGAACGCUGGCGGCGUGCCUAACACAUGCAAGUUGAGCGAUUUACUUCGGUAAAGAGCGGCGGACGGGUGAGUAACGCGUGGGUAACCUACCCUGUACACACGGAUAACAUACCGAAAGGUAUGCUAAUACGGGAUAAUAUAUUUGAGAGGCAUCUCUUGAAUAUCAAAGGUGAGCCAGUACAGGAUGGACCCGCGUCUGAUUAGCUAGUUGGUAAGGUAACGGCUUACCAAGGCGACGAUCAGUAGCCGACCUGAGAGGGUGAUCGGCCACAUUGGAACUGAGAC